AAAACAUUGCUGAUCAUUCAUCUCGUACGAGUCUCUUUCUUCUUUCGUUAUCACUCAAUAGGUUUGGUUUUUUAUUUUUAUUUUGUGUCUAUCAUCAUUAUCGAUCAUCGAGAGUAAAACAAUUAAUGAAAAAUAUGUUCGUUUGAUAAAACGGCUUACUCAGAAGCGUUAAGUUUUUUAAACUCAAUUCCAUUAAUUGCAAUGCAUUUUACUGUUAUUUUGUAGAAGUAAAGCAGUUUAAUGAGAGUGAGUUGUUAAAGCUUCAAAAUUGUUCGGAGGAAAACAAUGACCGUACGGAUGCCUUAACGGAAGUUUCGAAGAUCAUACGAGGACUGAUGGAUGGAUGAAUGGAUACAUAUCCGAUGAAAUGCGAGAAGAAAAACUCAUAGUUGCGUUCCAUGAAUUGCCCUAAUUUUCUCUUUCCCGUUUUUCUCCUCAUCUGUCUUUUCUUACUUUUUAUCUCUCUGCUGGUUGGAUAAAAAGCAAAAAGAAUUGAAGAGGAGGUAGAAAUACGUUGAGAUUUAUCGACUGUGCGAGGCUUAUCACGAACGAACAGCGAACAAUGCACAAAUCAUACAAGGAAAAGAAAAAAAAGGAAAAAAAAGAGAUAGAAAGAGAUAGAAAGAGAUAAAGGAAAUGUUCGAUUUGGUCUCCUACCUUGGUAGUCUUAAAAAAACAUUACAACCCUAAAGGUAGUAGGUAGUGUAAAGGAUAAGGAGUAUAGAAAAAAGGGAGCGGUGGUGUCUGCCAACAAUGAGUACUGUCUCUCCUGUCAGGUCGCGUGAUUACAGCCAAGGAUGAGAAGAAAAAGGAAAAGGGCUCUUCUACAAUACUAGCGACGGAUAAAAUGCCAAAGGGUCUACACGUUCUUCGAGUAGACAACAACAACAGUAACAGUAACAGAACAGCAACACCAGCAAUAGUCACGGCAGAAGUAGUAACAGCAAUAGUAGUAACAGCAGCAGUAGUAACAGCAGCAGUAGUAACAGCAGCAGUUAUAGAAGCAAGAAGAGAACUUCGUAGACACGAUUCAAUCUGCAAUAUUAACAACUUGAAGUUCACGCAAAUCGAUCGAAAGUCUCGUUACAUCUCGGAAGAGACAUUUAAUAUUAAUUAGCAGAGGCUCUCUACAACUUGACGCGAACUUUCGAAUAAAACUUUACUGAAAUACAGCUAAAUUUGUUUAACCGAAGGAUUAGACUCUAGAUUUUCAAUAGAAAGUAGCAAGUAAAAUACUAUACUUUAAAAAAAUAUAAUCUAAUCAAAGUAUUUUUCUUCAAAGUACAAUAUUCUUAAUUUAACCAUGCAAAAGAUUAGUUACUUCAACGUUGCUUAUCUAGAUGAUAAAAAUACUGAAUAUAAUAGAAAGAAAAAGAGAGAGAAUCAUGAAAGAAUAUCAUCAGAGUCUCAGGGACCACUCUUACAACUAUCGUCCUCUGGGAUCUCUUCUUCCCUUUACGCUCUUUCGCGUACUUGGAAGGAUAUGCGAAAUUUCCUAGGGCGAUAUGGGUGCAAGGAGAAGAAGGGUGUUAGAGAGAAAGAGAAAGAGAGAUAGAGAACCGAUAUAAGGCGGCAAGAGGGUGAACUCGAGGCACCAAACGUGCGACGGCGUACGUUAUCGCGACCCUCUCUUUCUCUUUCUCUCCAACACACUUACACCGCGAAGGCAUUACUUUUCUCUCCCCGUGUAUAUUUCCAUAGCUGCUACUGCUACUGCUACUGCUACUGCUGGUGGUGAUAGUGAUAGUGGUGGUGGUGGUGGUGCUACUGCUGUUGCUCUACUCCGUUUGUCCGUACCGGAGUAUAUACGUGUACAAGUUGGUUUGCCGCCUCCGUCUCGGCCGGUCGAUAACGUUACGCGUCGGGCCCGAAAACGGUGCUCUUCUCCUUUAGAAGUUCUUGCGCUUGGUGGCUUAGGGGGUCUCGCUUUGCGAUCUAGCGAUCUCGCGCGUACUCCACUUUUCCUUUGGCCACCAAAGCCGAGUAGGUCGCGUGUAAUCUAGACGGAAACGUCGGUCUGAAAGAACGGGGGUGAGGGAGGGAUGAUGGUGGCGAAAGGGGUUGCUGCAAAGAGUGAGCGAGCGAACGAACGAACGAGCGAAUGAGAAAGCUAUUUGCGGAAGAUAUGGGUCGGCUACCCCGAAUGGGAAAGACUGCCGUUGGCUGUUGCUGACUGCUGUUGCUGCUGCUACUGCUACUGCUACUAUUGCUAUUGCUAUACUGAUAUACUCCUACUGGCGCUGGGCUGACUCUUUUUCUCAAACGUUGAUGCAAAGCAAACUACCAGGGUCCAAGAAGAUGAACGCGAGAAACAACGCGUGGGCUUAUUACGCCGUUGAAGAAGCGACCGUCGUGCUAGGUGGCCCUACGACAUUGCAAGCUAGUUUGAUAGGGAGACUGGAUAAGCAGAGAAGGAAACGAGAGAGAAAGCUAAUCGACGAGGACAUUCAUAUGAGAUAAAUUAAACUCUAUCUCGCCUUACGUGUUUCGUUCACUUUUACUCUCACAAAUUUCAUUAUGUUUUACGUAAAAAAAAAAAAAAAAAAACUUUAC
Long non-coding RNA from Polistes canadensis, 2553 nucleotides. RefSeq lists it as uncharacterized. The record is from RefSeq and is a predicted model, not a curated record. NCBI's taxonomy places the organism in Eukaryota, Metazoa, Arthropoda, Insecta, Hymenoptera, Vespidae. The transcript has 4 exons.